AACGAACGCUGGCGGCGUGCCUAAUACAUGCAAGUCGAACGAGAAAGUGGCUUCGGCCAUGAGUACAGUGGCAGACGGGUGAGUAGUACCUAGGUAACCUACCUCCGAGAUGGGGAUAACCUUCCGAAAGGAGGGCUAAUACCGAAUGAGACCACGGAUGCUACGGCAUCUGAGGUUAAAGGUGACCUCUAUUUAUAAGUUAUCGCUUGGAGAUGGGCUUAUGCACCAUCAGCUUGUUGGUAGGGUAAUGGCCUACCAAGGCUUUGACGGUUAGCUGAUCUGAGAGGUUGAUCAGCCACACUGGAACUGGGACACGGUCCAGACUCCUACGGGAGGCAGCAGUAGGGAAUAUUGCGCAAUGGAGGGAACUCUGACGCAGCGACGCCGCGUGGGUGAUGAAGGCUUUCGGGUCGUAAAGCCCUGUCGGCAGGGAAGAAAAACGAUGUGGCUAACAUCCACAUCGCUUGACGGUACCUGCAGAGGAAGCACCGGCUAACUACGUGCCAGCAGCCGCGGUAA
This 519-nucleotide ribosomal RNA is filed under the name uncultured bacterium. Its description in RNAcentral is "partial 16S ribosomal RNA". It matches the Rfam family "Bacterial small subunit ribosomal RNA", at positions 29 to 523 of the family's 1533-position model. The record is from RNAcentral.